Molecule: ribosomal RNA, 502 nt
Filed under: uncultured bacterium
Lineage: Bacteria
Description: partial 16S ribosomal RNA
Rfam family: Bacterial small subunit ribosomal RNA
Source: RNAcentral
GACGAACGCUGGCGGCGUGCCUAAUACAUGCAAGUCGAACGAACCGCGACUAGGUGCUUGCACUUGGUCAAGGUGAGUGGCGAACGGGUUAGUAACACUUGGGUAACCUACCUCAUAGUGGGGGAUAACAGUCGGAAACGACUGCUAAUACCUCAUAGGACAUAGGAUCACAUGAUCCAGUGAGGAAAGGUGGCGCAAGCUAUCGCUAAGAGAUGGACCCGCGGUGCAUUAGCUAGUUGGUAGGGUAAAGGCCUACCAAGGCGAUGAUGCAUAGCCGACCUGAGAGGGUGAUCGGCCACAUUGGGACUGAGACACGGCCCAAACUCCUACGGGAGGCAGCAGUAGGGAAUCUUCCGAAAUGGACGCAAGUCUGAAGGAGCAACGCCGCGUGAGUGAAGAAGGUCUUCGGAUCGUAAAGCUCUGUUGUUAGAGAAGAACAGCGCAUAGAGUAACUGUUAUGCGUGUGACGGUAGCUAACCAGAAAGCCACGGCUAACUACGUG